CUACGGGGGGCUCCAGUAAGGAAUAUUGCGCAAUGGAGGCAACUCUGACGCAGCCAUGCCGCGUGCAGGAAGAAGGCCUUAUGGGUCGUAAACUGCUUUUAUUUAGGAAUAAACCCCCGAACGUGUUCGGGGCUGAAGGUACUAAACGAAUAAGCACCGGCUAACUCCGUGCCAGCAGCCGCGGUAAUACGGAGGGUGCAAGCGUUAUCCGGAUUUAUUGGGUUUAAAGGGUGCGCAGGCGGGCUAUUAAGUCAGUGGUGAAAUCCCGGGGCUCAACUCCGGAACUGCCAUUGAUACUGAUAGUCUUGAGUUUGGUUGAAGUGGGCGGAAUGUAGCAUGUAGCGGUGAAAUGCAUAGAUAUGCUACAGAACACCAAUCGCGAAGGCAGCUUACUAAGCCAAAACUGACGCUCAUGCACGAAAGCGUGGGGAUCAAACAGGAUUAGAUACCCGUGUAGUC
Molecule: ribosomal RNA, 459 nt
Filed under: uncultured bacterium
Lineage: Bacteria
Description: partial 16S ribosomal RNA
Rfam family: Bacterial small subunit ribosomal RNA
Source: RNAcentral